AUUGAACGCUGGCGGCAGGCCUAACACAUGCAAGUCGAGCGGAGCGGCGGACGGGUGAGUAAUGCAUAGGAAUCUGCCUGGUAGUGGGGGAUAACGUCCGGAAACGGGCGCUAAUACCGCAUACUAUCAGAUGAGCCUAGGUCGGAGUAGCUAGUUGGUGGGGUAAAGGCCUACCAAGGAGACGAUCCGUAACUGGUCUGAGAGGAUGAUCAGGCACAAGGGAACUGAGACACGGUCCAGCCUCCUACGGGAGGCAUCAGUGGGGAAUAUUGUAAAAUGGGCGAAAGCCUGAUGCAGCGAUGCCGCGUGUGUGAAGAAGGUCUUCGGAUUGUAAAGCACUGUAAGUUGGGAGGCGUUACCAACAGAAUAAGCACCGGCUAACUUCGUGCCAGCCGCCGCGGUAAUAC
RNAcentral lists this ribosomal RNA (407 nucleotides) under uncultured bacterium. Its description in RNAcentral is "partial 16S ribosomal RNA". It matches the Rfam family "Bacterial small subunit ribosomal RNA", at positions 30 to 526 of the family's 1533-position model. The record is from RNAcentral.